RNAcentral lists this ribosomal RNA (429 nucleotides) under Triticum aestivum (bread wheat). Its description in RNAcentral is "partial small subunit ribosomal RNA". The record is from RNAcentral. Lineage: Eukaryota; Viridiplantae; Streptophyta; Magnoliopsida; Poales; Poaceae.
AUGAGCCACCACCACGCCGUGGCAGCCCACAUCCUCGCAUCCAUGCCCUGGCCAACACCACCGGAGGCUCCACCAUCCCACCGGAGAAGCACAGCCGCCAGCAGCACCACCACCACCUUAGCAGGGCCGCCGGCCGUCCCCGCCGCCACCAACCACCAACACCAACCAGAUCUGGGCAGAGCCACCCAGAUCCGCCGCCAGAGCAACCUGCCUCCUCGGAUCCCCACAAGCCGCGCUGGAGGGGGGAGGGAGGAGAGGGGGGCACGCCUGCGGGCCACCACGACGCCGGAGAGGGGGAGGGGAGACGGAGCAGAGGAGAGCCACCGCCCGACGCCGACGGGCAGGAGGGGGCGCCCCGCGACGCCGGCCACCUGCGCGCGGGAGGAGACGCCCCGCCGCCGCCUGCGCCACGCGGCCUUUGGCCGGUGA